AGAGAUGGAUGGGUAGGCACACCUGCGUGACAGCUUCCGUGUGUGGUAGGUUAUCUGCGGUGUGGAAAAGGUGCAGGUCAGAAGCAAGACAUUUUACGGCUGAAAGAAGAUGGUCAAAGGAUGCCCUCACUCAAUAGUCUAGGUGAAGCUACAUCUGUCAAGCAACCAGCCCAAAGAUGCUGCCUGAGGCAGUUGCCUCCCACAGACCUCCUCACACUCCAGCUCAUGGCCUUCCCUAAGACCAGAACCCAGCAGGAUCACAUCCAAAGAAGGGAGGCUCCCUACAGAUCGUGGAAAACACUCCUGCACCUUCAUUGAGGUUCAACUCCAUUAUAUCUACAGGAGAGGUGACUUGGUCGGUGAAAGUGUUGCAAAGGCUCCCUGCCACCACAAAUUUCAGAGAUCCUAAGAAGAUAACCAUGAACACUGGAUGUUUUGGAGUGCCAUUCCAGUUGGUGCCAGCCAGUCUCUCC
Molecule: non-coding RNA, 473 nt
Organism: Pogona vitticeps (central bearded dragon)
Lineage: Eukaryota; Metazoa; Chordata; Lepidosauria; Squamata; Agamidae
Source: RefSeq, a predicted model, not a curated record